GCAGAGUGGAACAUGGCGGCCUCCUUGCCGCUUGCGUUACCAGAGUCCACCCGGCCUCGUGCUUUCUCCGGGCGCCCGUAGCUGGCGCCGGCAUCCACAAAAAUAGAUCAGACAGAGGAUGAAUAAAGAGGAAGCUCCAGGCUGUGAAGCGUCUAGUCCUUGCUCCCCUCAGAAGCUGGGACAUGUUGGACCAAGGUGGUAAGGAUAGUGAGUUUCCCAGAAGCUGGACAAGCCACGACGGCGCCUUCCAAUAAAAGGGGAACUCCAGAGACGCUAUGAGAAAAGAGGAACAGACAUCUGCAAUAGAUAUCUGCAACUUCCUUUUCAAAAACACCAUCGGCAUUGCUUUCUCAGGAAGCCACUGCCAGCCUAUUGUGAUAGCUGACACUGAGUUCCUGAGAAUUCUCUAAUUAGGAUCCCAGAUUGGAGGGUCAGCCAGUGGUUAACAUAUAAUGGACACAAAACUGAUUUUACUGGAAGACUGAGGGUGGGCACUCACCAUGGUUCUAAGCAUUCAUUACUCAGAAGAUCCAUAAAAACAUUACAGUUCUGUUGUGUAAGAGUUUAGGAAAAAAAGAAAAUCCUGACAAAAAUCCCAACCUAAAAAACAGUGUCAACAUUUGUAAGUAGGAUGGGGAGGCAGAGAUGAAUUGGCAGUGUUAUCACAGCUACUGGACUAUGUGGACUUUAACAAAGUAAGAAACGGGUGGGGGUUGGGUGGUGGUAUCUUAAUAGAGCAGGAGUAGAGACGGAUGUCCUGGGGCAGAAUGGGUACCAAUGCUGCCUGAAGCCUGGAGCUGGGAGCUGAGGACUAAGAGGUAGACAGGAGGGUGGGGACCGGUACCUGCUCCAAGGAACUGGUGCCCCAGAACUGGUGAGCUGGGGUAUGCAUUUAGCUCAUUCGUUUACCAGAAUGCAGUCACCACCUGAUGAAAGAAAUGACUAAUGGCAGGACUUGAACAGUUCUCUAUAAAUGAGUACCUGGGAGAAAAACAGGUCUCCAGGCUCCACAAUACCCAAUAAACACACUGCCUUUAGCCCACUUCAAGCUGCACUUCUUACAUGGAACCCAACCCAACCAACCUCAGAGGUAAGGGUGAGAGCAGGCAAUGAACAGCUAUGAUUCUCCAUUCCCUGGCCAGGCAGGGAGCCUUUCCAUCCACCCUCGUGAGACUGCUUGUAACAGAAAUAAGGAAACCGACUCCAAGGCUCAGUAACCCACCCAAGGUCAGAACCACGGAGUGGCAGGGCCUGUGAGCCACAAAGGAGACUGAAAACCAGAAAGAGCUUCUCUCUGGUCUGUUAUUUUAAGAAAAACAUGCCCAGAGGGGCCACCUGGAAGCAAGGCUGUGUGGCACCCUCACCUUCCUAAUUAAACAACAACUUCCCAGGAGCAACGACAGCAACAACAGCCUGGCCCAGCAGAUGAACUCGAAUCAAUCCAAGCCCUUCCCCUAUACGGGUCAGUUUGGGCACUACUUUACCUGCUGUGAAGUCUACUGGGAUCUUCCAGGAAAGUCCCACCUCAUUAGUAAAAAGAAAAACAAAGACUCGGGAAGAAAGUUCCUGCCCUCCCUGUUGAAUGCUGUGUGAGGAUAAGAUGUCUGGAGCAUGGCAGUCACCCUGUGACUAUCAGAAGGCCAGGCGUACCACAAGGUGGUCAUUCCAGUGCUCUGAAUCAGCCCCAAACCACUUCCCUCAAGACUCAUGUUCUGAGGUGAUUAAAAGUGUGCUUUGAAGGUAAAUCUAGGAUGACAGUCAACAGAUCAGUGAUUGCCAGGAGUCAGGGGUAGAGGGAGGGAAGAACAGAUGGAGCACAGAGAAUUUUUAGGGCAGUGAAAAUGUUCUGUAUGAUACUAUAUAUAAUGGAUACAUGCCAUUAUACACUUGUCCAAAUGCACAGAAUGUACACCACCAAGAGUGAACCCUAAUGUAAACUAUGGACUUUGGGUGAUCAUGAUGUGUCAAUGCAGGUUCGUCAAUUGCAACACACGUACCAUUCUAGUGGGGGGUGUUGAUAACAGGAGGCUAUGCAUGUGUGGGACCAGGGGAUAUAUGGGAAAUCUCUGUACAUGCCUCUCAAUUUUGCUGAGAAUCUGAAACUGCUCUUAAUGAAGUCUUACAAAAAUAAAGAAGUCUGCUUUGCCUUAGGUUGGGUCUUCAGUUACCUGCAGCCAAAUGAACACAACUGGCGUGAGGUAAACCUCUGACACUUAGUGAGCACGCUACAAUGUAGUGCUGCCACGAAAGGAAUAACAAAGAAACAGAACUCAACAACUAAAACCACAAAGAACUAUCCCUGAUCCGCGACAAUGGGAACAGUGUCUCAUGUCAGGACCCAGUACACACCCACAUUUUGUCUGUGUAUAAACAAAAUUUACAUGUAAGUUACUACAUGGCAUAUACUUCUCAUUUUUAAAAAGAAUGCUGAUUGUGACCCACUACAUUUAUUUCAUGAUGCAUUAAUGGUUCAUAACCCACAAUUUGGAAAGUACGGUAUACCUAUAAAAAAUUAGCCUUAUUUCUUGCCAAACUUGAACACGGCUCUGACCUGUGCAAGAUCGUAUUUUGAUUGCAGUGAAAGCCACAGGGUACUGAGACAGACUCCCUAAACUUCCUUUUUAUUCCUGAUCAAAUGCAAUGCCAAGCAACCUCCAGACACUACAUGCAUCAAUGUAUCAAUGUUGCUUUGCCUGAGGUGAGAUACUUCAACUAUCUAUCUGACUGGUACCAGGCUAGGAGCACUAGGCAGGACACAGCCUGAAUCUGCUGCUGCUGCUGCUGCUGAGCCAGCAUGGAGAUGUGUAUGUUCUUCAGUGGCUCUAUGUGAGGAUGCCUGUCUAACCCCAGCUCUCCUGAGCCUAUCUUGGACACUGAGGGGCAAACCUCUCCCUAGUAUCUUAAAACCAUAAAAGCCAGGAAGCAGGAUUUCUAAGUAAAGGAGCUUUAAACAGGACCUUUGCCUAGGAUCUUAAUUUUCCUAUGCUAUUUUGGAUGCUCUGUUGUCCCUGGGAAAGGGGCAUGAGACUUGCUCCAGAAUUUCAGACCACAGUCACCAACUGUCAAUCUCAUCUACUUUCUAAGGAGAAAUCUUCGCAGGGCAGGGUUGGGUGGUGGCAGUGAUGUUGGGGUUCCUUGAGUCCAAGGAGAGGAUUUCCCAUAAUCGAGUCCGAAAGCUAAACAAUAAUCCCCCGAAAUGGGUGGGGUGGUAUGUGAUUAAGUGGGUGUCACACAACUGGCACAAGCUACAGGACAAGGAGAAGGAGGGCUUCCCCAGUGGGGAGGAACAGGCCACUUAUCUAUGGCCCUAAGUUGUCAGCCUGGGGGAGAAGGUGGAAGCAGUGUUUGUUAAGCUGGAAUGAGUGUGCAUGUGUAGGAAUUAUGCUGUUCAGUCUGUAAUGUCAAAACAGAUAGUGAGAACUUCCAUUUCUGGUCACGGUGGAGGACAAGGAUCAGAUUUGUUCAUGAAACAACCAACAACCAACCAACCAACCCCUUCCUCCCUACAAAAAGUCCACUAAAACCUAAAAACCACCUAGACAAAAUAGCUACAACGAUGGUUUGUAGGACACCAGACAUCUGUAAUGAAGAACAAUAAAUCCUGAGACAUGGGAAACAAGGGCAGCCCUAUAUCCUUGGGAGUUUCCAGGGAGAGGGACCUGGAGUGGAGCUCAAGGCACCUAGAGUCCAUAGGACACAGUACCAGCAGGAGAGAGCUAUACAGAGAUCCCCAGAGAUCUGCAGGGUCCUCUUUGAGUAUUCAGCAGAGUCCCUCUCAGUGCAUGUAUCUGAGCAAACUAUUCAAGGCCAGGAAAAGAACUAUCCAAAAGGCUUAGAGGAACAGUAUCCAGUGCUCACACAGGGCUAGGAUUAGUGCUUACUACCCCCCGGUCAAACUGGAGAAGCUCAUGAUUGACAAAGCACUGGGCAGAAUACUCAGGAAGAUCUUGCCUAUAGUAGGAAAUAAUCAGCCCUAAACUGAGCUCUAGACCUACCUAACAAAUCACAAAAGCAAGACUCGCAAGCAUCAAACUGUUUCCGGGUAACUUAAAUGCUUCUCAGUAUAAAACUCAGGAAAAUUUAUAGGAAUAAAAAUAUCCAGCACCCCAAAAGGCAAAAUUCACAAUGUCUGGCAUCCAAAGAUUACCAGGCAUGCAAAGAGGCAGAAAACAGGACCCACAAUGAGGAGACUUAUCAAUCAAUUGAAAGCAACCCAGAACUAACACAAAUGUUAGAAUUAGUAGAGGAGAACCAUAAGACUCCAACUUUCAGAGAUGAAAACUACAAUGUCUGAGAUGAAAAUUACAUUGGGCUGAAAUGACAAAAUAUCCACACAUAACACAGUAAAAACUUCACACCAUUAUCAAGCAUUAACUCAAAAUGGAUCCUAGACCUAAAUGUUAAGUACUAAACCUAUCAAAUUUAUAGAAGAAAACAUAGGAAAGAAAUCUUUGUGACCUCGAGUUGGGUGAAGAUUUCUUAGUAUGAUGUCAAAAAGCACUAUCUAUAAAAGAAUAAAUUGAACUUCAUCAAAAUAAAUUCAGUACUUUAAAAAGCACUGUUAAGAAAAUGAAAGACAAACCAUACACUGGGAGAAAACUUUUGCAAAGUACAUAUCUGAUAGAGGACUUAUAUCCAGAAUAUAACAAACCAAAAUUCAACAAUUAAGAAAACCAAUAAAAAAGGGCUAAAGAUUUGAACAGAUACUUCAUUGAAAAAGACAGAGGGCAGGUAAGCAUAUGAAAAGAUGCUAAACAUUCCUAGUUAUUAUAACAACGCAAAUUAAAACCACUAGGAAACGCAUCUACCACCACUGAUUAGAAUGAGUAAAGCUAAAAAGACUGACCACGUCAGGUGUUAGUGAGGAUGUGAAGGAACUGGUAUUCUCAUACACUGCUAGUGGGAAUAUAACAUAAAGCUUCAGAAAACAGCUUGAUAGUUAAGUUAAACAUACACCUCCCAUAUGACCCAGCCAUUCUGAUCUUGAGUAUUUAUCCAAGAGAAAUGACAGGCUAUGUCCACAGAAAAACUUGUACACAAAUGUUCAAAGCAGAUUUAUUAGCGAUAGUCAAAAACUAUAAACUAACCCAAACAUCCACCAACGGGUAAGUUGGUAAAUACAUGUUUCUAUAUAUAGAAAAAUAUUUAGCAACAAAAAGGAACAAACAAUUGAUACAUGGGACAAUACAGAUGAAUCUCAAAAUAAUUAUACCAAGUGAAAGAAGGCAGACAUAAGAGAACGUACUGUAUGAUUCCAUUUAUAUAAAACUUUAGAAAAUGCAACAAAUCUACACUGACAAAAAAGCAUAUCAGUAGUUGUUAGAGGAGGGUAAGGAGGGGUGAAUUCAAAGGGAAACAAUGACACAUCAAAAUUUAUGAAGCUGUACAUUUUUAAAAUGUGCAGUAUAUUGGAUUUCAAUCACGCCUCAGUAACUUUUUUAAAAAAGGAAAAGAAAAAGAGUAGGCAGUGGCAUUUACUAAAAUGCUAUAUAUGUUUAGCUCCCACAUACACACUGGCAAUGAAUGAAAAGUGCUUCCUCUCUUUGGGGAGGGAACAGGUAAAGCAGGCAGCAAGUCAAGUCUCAGCAGCUGCUCCAAUUUUAACUCUGGAGAUCACUUGUGCCAGGAGCUGGAGCCCUUGAACAGUGAAACCACCUGCCAAGUUAGUGCCAUAAUUUCCUAAAGAAAGCGUGCCCUGCUCAGAGAAGGCAACUGAGGUUACAGUGCAGACAAGACAGCUGACAGUCUUUAAGCUCUAAAGGCCACUCAGCAUAAAACAUCACAAGCAUUGCCUUCUAAUUGCAGAACUGACCAAUUUCAUUCCUGGCCGUACAAGCCUAUAACUCAUGCCUAACAAACUGCCUGGAAUAGCUCCAUAUUCUUAUUUUAAGUAUUUAGUCUUGGCUCUCCUGACUGAAUGCAGCCCAAGCUCACAGACCUGGCCUGCGUUCUGUGUCCUGGUGGCACGUAUGGUGCUGGUACUCAAGAGCACUCUUGGAUUUGCUUUACUUGCAUGAUUUUUAAGAACCAGAAGGACAAGCAUGAGGCCUUCAUAUUUAGACCUUCUUCCCUAUAUGGUAACAAGAAUAUGAGGGGUAAUCCCAGAAUGGUAAACUUUACUUUAAGCACCUUUAGUUACUAAUCAGUAAGAAAAAUGUGAAAAUGUGCUCCAGUUAAAAGCACAAGACCAUGAAAGAAGCCAAAGCUAUGACUGACUGCAUGCAGAGGCUGUUGACGUCAUCUUCGCCUGGGUCUCCUCCUGAACUGAAAUCCUUGGAAAGGGAGCAAAAGGGUUUACAAAACAAGACGGUGCAGAGAGUCUCAAGUCUGUCUACUCCACAGCAGCCUGCUCUUUCCUGUUGCUUUUCAAGGAAUCAGCAGAGGGAGACCUGGCCAGCAGCUCCUGGGCAGCAAAGUAUCCCCAGACUGUGUUCCUGGUGGUUGGCUCAAGCCACUGAAGCGGUGGUUAAGACUCAAGACCAGGACCUGGAGAUUCACAAGGACCACUGGGAUACUAUUUCACUAAUAACCCAAUAGAAAUGGAGUCACUUCCAAGGCACUCUGCUUUGGGGAAGGGCAGAGUGCCAUAUACCUUCUACUGGGUAACAGGACUGAAGAAGGCACCUCUACAGACUUAUGGCUUCACUACUUGUAGUGAAAGCUCAUGACUCACAAUGCAGUUUAUAGUUGCUCAUGAAUCUUUGCAGGAGUGUUUCCUAUAGGCAGCAUUUUACAGGGACAAAAUAUGGGAAGUUUUAAGAUUAAAAAAAAAAAAAUGACUAAACUAAACCAAAAAUCAAACAUAACAAAAAACCAGAAUAUCCUAAGCCCCAAACCUUCAAAAUAAAAUAAAGUCCUUGCCAUUUACAGUUUGGAGAGGGAAAAGGAUUUCUACUUUCAACACGCAGGUGAGUUUCUUAAUGACAAAAAGUACAAUGAGGCCAGCUGCGGAGGAGGCUCAUGCCUGUAAUCCCAGUGCUUUGGAAGGCCAAGGCAGGAGAAUCACUUGAGGCCAGGAGUUUGAGACUGGCAUGAGUUUGCAACCAGCCUGGGCAACACAGCAAGACUCAUGUCCCCAAUCCUGUUUCUGCAAAAAAUUAAAAAAAAAAAAAAAAAAAUUUAGCCAGACAUGGUCCUAGCUACUUGAGUGGAUCAAGUGGGAGAUCACUUGAGCCCAGAGGUUUGAGGUUGCAGUGAGCUAUGACCGCACAAGUACACUCCAGACUGGGCAACAGAACGAGACUCUGUCUCUUAAAAAAAAAAAAAAAGGUGUAAUGGUUGAAUGGGUGGAGGUAGGGGGAGCCAGUAUUUUUCUGCAGCUUUGCAUUUGAAGCCACUCAGAACAUUCCCAGAUGGGCGUAUGGCUCAAGGUCUAAUGGUUUAGCUGUUUGCUUUCCCUCUUCUUAUUAGACACAGAAGUUCUCUUAACCACCUUUUACUCAGCUGCCUUACUUGGAGACUCAUAAAACUCACAGCCUUCGUACCCCAGCAUAGUGAAGAGCACUCCCCUCAUGCUUUAGUCUCUAGCUCAUGAUCACUUCUUCAUUCCCAUAUGAGUUCUGUGUUCACAAAGGGAGGAGUGGUUAGCUGUGUUUGUCCCCAAAUCCAUUUAUGGUAGCUAUAUUUACUGUGUAAAUAUAAUGUAAUUAAAUAGUAUGUAAAUCAAUAAAAUGAGUGUGAAUACAAACAGCGGUUCUAGCUGACUCCUGGGAAAGACUCAAUAAAGGCAAGUCACUAAAAAACUAUUGCUAGUGAAUAAUCAUAUGGGAGACUACAUUUAGAGAAAGAAAUCUUAAAAAUCUGGAAAGGUUUGGUUUUUAAAUGUUCUCACAAUACUCUUUGCUCUACUUUAAAAAAGGUCAAAUUGGUUUUUGCAAGAACUAUGAUGGGAAACUCCACUAGCAGAGCCAUCCUCAAAGAUAAAGACAUAGUCCUUUAGCAAAUGAUUUAUGUUAGAGUUUGAAAUCAAAUGUUUACAGAAGCCAUGUCACUUUUAUGUUAGCAUACCAACUACCCACUUGUCUCAAUCAUGAUGGGUAAAAAGGGAUUCUACAUUUAGAUAGGCAAAAGAUACAAAUUCAAAUCUUACAUUCUUAUUAUUCCAUUUCUGGGUCUCUGUGGCUGUAUUCCAGCACAACCUCCCUGAAGUGGGGUUCUGAGAACUCCUUAUGAGUGAGGGGUAUGACCAAAGGUCCAAGUGCCAACCCAAAGAGGGAACCAGCUCACUCUCACUAUCAUUUUCCUGAGAUCACCAACAGUGCAAGCACAUUUCCCAUACGCAGUAUGGAAAUGCUUCUAACCUUUGGCUAAAUCCCUUUAGAUCCUAUAACCAAAAGUGUAUUUUCAAAGGCAGGGCCCAUGAUGGGAAGAAUAUGCAGGAUCCAACGGCAAUAAAAAGAACACAGACCAGAAUGCAUGCCCUGUGGGUGUGUCUCUCCAUUUUCCACUUUAAUCACAGUAUAAAUAAGAGGAGUUACUACCACAUUAUAUCGCAUGGGGAGGGGGAGAAAGAAAUACCACUAGGCCGGGUGCAGUGGCUCACGCCUGUAAUCCUAGCACUUUGGGAGGCUGAGGCAGGUGGACUGCCUGAGCUUCGGAGUUUGAGACCAGCCUGGGCAACAUGGUGAAACCCUGUAUCUACUAAAAUACAAAAAAUCAGCCGGGCAUGGUGGCGUGCGCCUGUAGUCCCAGCUACUUGGGAGGCUGAGGCAGGAGAACUGCUUGAACCCGGGAGGCAGAGGUUGCAGUGAGCCGAGAUUGCACCAGGGCACUCCAGCCUGGGCGACAGAGUGAGACUCCAUCUCCAAAAAAAUCAAAAGAAAUACCACUUAACAAUAGCUAGCUGGAAGUGGUAGAAAUAUGCAUUUUCUAUAGGGUAUAAUGGUUAAAGGCAUGAGUUCUGGACCUCUGUUACAGACUAUUAUUACAACUCCCUCCCUGGUCUCCCUGCUUCUGCUCUUGCUCUCCUACAGUCUAAACCUGACACAGCAGCCAGACCCUACUACCCCUCGGCUGAAAAACUCCUGUGACUCCCCCAUCUCAGGAGAUAAAACUCUUAAAAUGGCCUACAAGACCCUCUAAGAAGUGUCAAGCCUCCGCCCCUACCACCAUCCCUCUGACUUCACCUCUGAUUACUCUUGUACUUUUCCAGUCCCAGAACAUUGUUUCCUUAUGUUCUACAUACACACCAGGGAUACCUCCACCCGUGGGCCUUUGCAUUUGCUGUUCUCUCUGCCUAAAAUGAUCUUGCUCAAACAGUCACAUAGGUUACAUCCUUACCUCCUUCAAGUCUUUGCUCAAAUGUCACUUUCUCAUUGAGGCCUUUGCCAAUCUAUCUAAAACCUCAACCUUUUCCUAUUCCCUCCUUAACACUUACUAGCUUAUACACAACAGUCUUGCUUAUUAAUCAUAUUUAUUAUGUCUUUUCCACUACAGUGUGAGAUGAAGGCAGGAACUGUGUCUUCUUCACUCCUAAAUUCUUGGUAGCCAGGACAGUGUCUUGUACAUAGCAGACAUUCAUCAAGUACUUACAGAAAUAUCAAAGGUACCCUUUUCUCCUCCUGGCCUGUGUAUAUACCUGGAAGACGCUUUCCUCCUGCCUGACUGCACCAUACACACCCAAGACCAAAUGGCACUUCCUCCAAGAAGUUCUAGCCUAUAGGUGUAGGUUGCCUGAGGUACUUUCAUUGUAACUGACCACUCCCUACAGGGUAAGCUUCUUGAGGGCAACAUUGAGGCUUUGCCCAGCUCCUUAUAUAUUCACUGAGUGACCGAGGGAAUGCCAGGUCCUAACUGGCCACUCAUUCAAACAGUCACUGAAUAGCUACUCUAUGCCAAGACUGAUGGGGAGACCUUGGAGAACAACACUAGUGUGGGUCUGGCCUCCUGGAGCCUUCAGUCGGUUGGGGAAAGAGCAGAUGUUUAACUACACGGAUCCUGACUAUGAUGGGGGCUAAGAAAAUAGAUGGGUGCAUUGUUGCAGAAUUAGAAGCAUGCAUGUAUGCAUCCAAAGUGUUACUUAAGCUGUGCUAUAAAGAAAAGAGCCUGUCAUGCAGUGGGGAGUGGGGGCAGUGUGGUGGCACCUAAGCAAAGGGGCAGAGACCUCCAUGUGGGAAAAGGCUUGGAGCAUUCGAGGAAUGAAUGCAGGCCAAGGUGGCUUGAGCUCCUGGGAGAGGAAGAGCAAAUGUAACAGAAAGAGACAGUAGCAUCUAAGAACUGGUUAUUUCUACCUCCCCGACUUUCUGCACUGCUAGAAUACACCUGGUCAAAAUCAAAGGGGUCCAGGGGAGGGAAUGCAGAGACUUGGUUAAGCUUUUUAGCAGGAAAAGAAAACAAAAAAACAGAAGAAAAAAUAGAAGUAAAAAU
Molecule: long non-coding RNA, 10365 nt
Filed under: Homo sapiens (human)
Lineage: Eukaryota; Metazoa; Chordata; Mammalia; Primates; Hominidae
Description: HSALNT0399142
Source: RNAcentral